GUUCUGUUGUCCCCUUCCAGUAUGAACAUUCUGUGUUCUGUGUACUAAGGUUCUUCCUGGUGCUGAGAAUUCAUGUUCUGCAGCCACAAGGCACCCCUAAGACCUCUACUCCAACCAGAUCCCAUGGAAGUAACCGCUUUUGUCCAGUGUGUGGGAAACGCAGACUGAAGCAGAAAGACCCAAGGAUUAAGACAACAUGGGAGGGGAAGUGGCCUUGGCAAGUGAGCAUCCAGUAUGGGCAGCACCCCCUGUGUGAGGGCACCCUUAUCGACGUCCAGUGGGUGCUCACGGCAUCCCACUGCUUCCGGAGAACCAAUGACCCUACUGUCUACCAUGUUUUAGUGGGCAGCCAUAAGUUAUAUGAGAAGAGCCCCAAGU
RNAcentral lists this long non-coding RNA (378 nucleotides) under Phascolarctos cinereus (koala). RNAcentral's name for it is "lncRNA (ENSPCIG00000001274.2)". Lineage: Eukaryota; Metazoa; Chordata; Mammalia; Diprotodontia; Phascolarctidae. The record is from RNAcentral.